CCGCGGGAUUAGAGUUUGAUCCUGGCUCAGAACGAACGCUGGCGGCGUGGAUAAGACAUGCAAGUCGAACGCUGAUUGCGGGGUAGCAAUAUUCCGCAGUCGGAGUGGCGCAAGGGUGCGUAACACGUGGGUAAUUUACCGUGAAGUUUGGGAUAACUUGCUGAAAGGUAAGCUAAUACCAAAUGUGGUCCGAAGGAGGCAUCUCCUUUAGACUGAAGUUGGGGACCGAAAGGCCUGAUGCUUCACGAUAAGCCCGCGGCCUAUCAGCUAGUUGGUGAGGUAACGGCUCACCAAGGCUAAGACGGGUAGCUGGUCUGAGAGGACGACCAGCCACACUGGAACUGAGACACGGUCCAGACACCUACGGGUGGCAGCAGUCGAGAAUUUUUCACAAUGGGCGAAAGCCUGAUGGAGCGACGCCGCGUGGGGGAUGAAUGGCUUCG
This 443-nucleotide ribosomal RNA is filed under the name uncultured bacterium. RNAcentral describes it as "bacterial SSU rRNA". It matches the Rfam family "Bacterial small subunit ribosomal RNA", at positions 1 to 420 of the family's 1533-position model. The record is from RNAcentral.